UGCAGUCGAACGAACUCUUCGGAGUUAGUGGCGGACGGGUGAGUAACACGUGGGAACGUGCCUUUAGGUUCGGAAUAACUCAGGGAAACUUGUGCUAAUACCGAAUGUGCCCUUCGGGGGAAAGAUUUAUCGCCUUUAGAGCGGCCCGCGUCUGAUUAGCUAGUUGGUGAGGUAAUGGCUCACCAAGGCGACGAUCAGUAGCUGGUCUGAGAGGAUGACCAGCCACAUUGGGACUGAGACACGGCCCAAACUCCUACGGGAGGCAGCAGUGGGGAAUCUUGCGCAAUGGGCGAAAGCCUGACGCAGCCAUGCCGCGUGAAUGAUGAAGGUCUUAGGAUUGUAAAAUUCUUUCACCGGGGACGAUAAUGACGGUACCCGGAGAAGAAGCCCCGGCUAACUUCGUGCCAGCAGCCGCGGUAGUACGAAGGGGGCUAGCGUUGCUCGGAAUUACUGGGCGUAAAGGGCGCGUAGGCGGACAUUUAAGUCAGGGGUGAAAUCCCAGAGCUCAACUCUGGAACUGCCUUUGAUACUGGGUGUCUUGAGUGUGAGAGAGGUAUGUGGAACUCCGAGUGUAGAGGUGAAAUUCGUAGAUAUUCGGAAGAACACCAGUGGCGAAGGCGACAUACUGGCUCAUUACUGACGCUGAGGCGCGAAAGCGUGGGGAGCAAACAGGAUUAGAUACCCUGGUAGUCCACGCCGUAAACGAUGAUUGCUAGUUGUC
This 721-nucleotide ribosomal RNA is filed under the name uncultured bacterium. Its description in RNAcentral is "bacterial SSU rRNA". It matches the Rfam family "Bacterial small subunit ribosomal RNA", at positions 56 to 824 of the family's 1533-position model. The record is from RNAcentral.